This 21-nucleotide small nuclear RNA is filed under the name Arabidopsis thaliana (thale cress). Its description in RNAcentral is "snRNA_12370". The record is from RNAcentral. Lineage: Eukaryota; Viridiplantae; Streptophyta; Magnoliopsida; Brassicales; Brassicaceae.
GGGUCGAUCCGGGCGGAGGAC